CAACAACGGAUCUCUUGGCUCUCGCAUCGAUGAAGAACGCAGCGAAAUGCGAUACGUAAUGUGAAUUGCAGAAUUCAGUGAAUCAUCGAAUCUUUGAACGCACCUUGCGCCCCUUGGUAUUCCGAGGGGCACACCCGUUUG
This 141-nucleotide ribosomal RNA is filed under the name Lactarius rubrilacteus. RNAcentral describes it as "5.8S ribosomal RNA". It matches the Rfam family "5.8S ribosomal RNA". Rfam says of the family: 5.8S ribosomal RNA (5.8S rRNA) is a component of the large subunit of the eukaryotic ribosome. It is transcribed by RNA polymerase I as part of the 45S precursor that also contains 18S and 28S rRNA. The record is from RNAcentral. Lineage: Eukaryota; Fungi; Basidiomycota; Agaricomycetes; Russulales; Russulaceae.